CUUUCCAUCCCUCUCUUGUACACAUCCCUCAUUGUAUCGUUUAUAUGGUUUGAUUAAAGUAAUGAUCAGUGAGAACCGAUAUUUUAUUUGCCACAUCAGACACAGGCCGUCUUUACAUCUGCCAGUGGGGCUUUCAUCAUCACGGGCAGGGCACGUUGUGUUUGUGCACGUGUGCACGAGUGUACGAGCGGCACGUCUUCUUCCACAAUGUGACUGUGAAAUGACUAGGUCAUGCAAAAUUAAAGAAGAGAAAGCAAGCAAGAAUAUUAUGAGGUAAAAUGUUUAUUGAG
This 290-nucleotide long non-coding RNA is filed under the name Sinocyclocheilus anshuiensis. RNAcentral describes it as "lncRNA (ENSSANG00000040982.1)". Lineage: Eukaryota; Metazoa; Chordata; Actinopteri; Cypriniformes; Cyprinidae. The record is from RNAcentral.